CGUACGCACUGGCCCACUGAUUGAUGGUGCUUGCACCUGAUUGACGAUGGAUCACCAGUGAGUGGCGGACGGGUGAGUAACACGUAGGUAACCUGCCCCGGAGCGGGGGAUAACAUUUGGAAACAGAUGCUAAUACCGCAUAACAACGAAAGCCACAUGGCUUUUGUUUGAAAGAUGGCUUUGGCUAUCACUCUGGGAUGGACCUGCGGUGCAUUAGCUAGUUGGUAAGGUAACGGCUUACCAAGGCGAUGAUGCAUAGCCGAGUUGAGAGACUGAUCGGCCACAAUGGAACUGAGACACGGUCCAUACUCCUACGGGAGGCAGCAGUAGGGAAUCUUCCACAAUGGGCGCAAGCCUGAUGGAGCAACACCGCGUGAGUGAAGAAGGGUUUCGGCUCGUAAAGCUCUGUUGUUGGAGAAGAACGUGCGUGAGAGUAACUGUUCACGCAGUGACGGUAUCCAACCAGAAAGUCACGGCUAACUACGUGCCAGCAGCCGCGGUAAUACGUAGGUGGCAAGCGUUAUCCGGAUUUAUUGGGCGUAAAGCGAGCGCAGGCGGUUGCUUAGGUCUGAUGUGAAAGCCUUCGGCUUAACCGAAGAAGUGCAUCGGAAACCGGGCGACUUGAGUGCAGAAGAGGACAGUGG
This 644-nucleotide ribosomal RNA is filed under the name uncultured bacterium. RNAcentral describes it as "bacterial SSU rRNA". It matches the Rfam family "Bacterial small subunit ribosomal RNA", at positions 50 to 664 of the family's 1533-position model. The record is from RNAcentral.